RNAcentral lists this ribosomal RNA (896 nucleotides) under Triticum aestivum (bread wheat). RNAcentral's name for it is "partial small subunit ribosomal RNA". Lineage: Eukaryota; Viridiplantae; Streptophyta; Magnoliopsida; Poales; Poaceae. The record is from RNAcentral.
GACGCAGUUUCCUCACCCUUCUCCCUUUCUCUGGUCGGCGCCGCCACCCCUCUCCUCGCCGCGCCGCAAGCUGCACUCAUCGGGCGCGGCACCGACGGGGACGGCCGACGCUGCUUUCCCUCACCACAGCAAAGACGUCUCCCCUGGUUUCUCACCGAAUGACAUGAGUAGAGCCCUGCGGUCGCAAGAAUGGACAAGGAAAAGGGGAAGAAGAGGAGCUUGGUUUCCAUUAUGAAGACUAAGCCGCUGUCCUGGCCUUCCAGGAAGCAAAAGGGGAAGCAAAAGGGGAAGGGCUACUGCAUCACUGCCGAGGAAGCGGGCAAAACAUUACAGCAAUGUCCCGCUCGCUGAGUUGAUGUUUAGGGCAAUGAAGCAUGAUAAGCAAGCGGAGGAGGAUGAUGAAGAAGAGGACAAGGAUGAUCAAGAUACUCUGUUUGAGGAGGAAGAUUCUCAUUUUGAUGUCAAACCGCUAAGUGUUAUGCUGUACAAAAUUGCAUUGUUUGGCUGUCAACGUUCAAUAUAUUUGCUGUAUAAAGUUCAAAGGAGGUAUUGUCCAAAAUUAAAAAGCAAUGCUGCCCAAUUCUUUAUUUGACAUAUUUGUUCCAUUUCCUCUACACUUUUCAUAGAAGAAAGCUUAUAUUUCGUCACUAUGCCUAUUUUUAAAACCAUAGACUACUAGAUGUUGCAUUAUUAGCAAUAUAGACUGAUGUCAAUAUUUGUUUGGCUGUCAACGUCCACUAUGACCAUUUUUUAAACAAUUUCCUCUACAUUUUCUCAUUUUAUAUGUCAAAGUGGUAAGUAUUAUGCUAUGCAAAAUUUAUUUGUUUGGCUAUCAAUAUUUGAUGUUUUGCUGUGUAAAGUUCAAAAGGAAGUGUUGUCCAAAAUUCAAUACAAAU